UACGGAGGAGGCAAGCGUUCUACGGAAUUAUUGGGCGUAAAGCGUCCUUAGGUGGUUGGCCAAGUCUGCUGUCAAAGGGUGGGGCUUAACCUCAUAAAGGCAGUGGAAACUGGCGAGCUAGAGUGCGGUAGGGGUAGGGGGAAUUCCCAGUGUAGCGGUGAAAUGCGUAGAGAUUGGGAAGAACAUCGGGGGCGAAAGCGCCCUGCUGGGCCUGCACUGACACUGAGGGACGAAAGCUAGGGGAGCGAAAGGG
This 253-nucleotide ribosomal RNA is filed under the name uncultured bacterium. Its description in RNAcentral is "partial 16S ribosomal RNA". It matches the Rfam family "Bacterial small subunit ribosomal RNA", at positions 524 to 776 of the family's 1533-position model. The record is from RNAcentral.